AUGAAAAAAAUAGAGAAAAAAAGAAAAGAAAAAGAGAGUACAAUGUCUUCGUCAUCGGGCGGCUAUGUCGCCAUCCCGCGCUGCCAGGUGUUAUUCGGCGGUGUUCCCUACAUUGACCCAGUCUCGUACAUACGUCGCCACUCGGUGCUUGGUGCUCGUCCGUCUGUGGCGUUGUCCCCUACUCUGCAAUGCCUGCUUGCUGCCUGGGAUUAUUCACCGACAGGUUCUGCAAUUUCUGUGACUGACUCUUCUAGCACUGAGAAACCACCUUCUACUCAUUCAGGUGCAUCCCCAUGGAUCCUUGAUACUGGAGCUUCUUUUCAUAUUACUCAUGGUUCUUCAACUAUGACAUCCGUUUGA
Molecule: ribosomal RNA, 360 nt
Filed under: Triticum aestivum (bread wheat)
Lineage: Eukaryota; Viridiplantae; Streptophyta; Magnoliopsida; Poales; Poaceae
Description: partial small subunit ribosomal RNA
Source: RNAcentral